UUGUUUCACAGGUUUCAGGAUGUCGGCGAGUUUGCAGUGGUCAAUAAUAAGAAAUAACUCUUCAUUCCUUGUGAAGAGUUUGGGGAAUACUUUUACCAAGGUGUGUUUGAAUGUUUAGUGCUAAUUUAGAGCUCAUUAGUCCUCAGAGCCUGAUCAAAUCAGGGUUCUAAUUAGUGGCUCGCUAUUCGCAAUUUGCGAAUGUAAAUUUGCUUUUUGCAAAUGCAAAAUUCGCUUUUUGCGAACGCAAAAUCAUCCAUUUUGUGAAUGACGUUUUGCAACAAUGUAUUAAGGUUUACAUAAAAGAUUGAUUUUCCCAAUCACUUUGAAUGUAUUUUACUAUAGUGGAAGAUAUGAUAGAGUAUUUUGCUGACUAUUAUUGUAAUUUUGUACUAAAAAGAUGUGUGAAAUGAAGAAUAUGGCUACAAUUUCUUCAGAAAAUUUACGAAAUUCACUAUGAAACGACCGUCAUUUUGUUUUUUUGCAAGCAGUGUUUCCAAUGUUCAAAACUAACGAAUCAAUUUUUCCUGUCUUAUUCGUACCCUGCAAAUGAGGCAGAUUAAUCUAAAUAAUUUCCCAAUUAAUCAGUAAUGAGGUCUGUGCCAGUGUACAGUAGGUAGCAACGAUAAUAAGCUAUGGAUUGAGAGAGAGAAUGGGCCAUUAUAGACUAAAUUUUCAUGCAUUAUAGACUGUCUAGACAAGAAUUUCAUCACAACUUGAAAGAGCAUCACAAAAUUAGUAAUAUUCCAAAGUUUUGUUGCGAAAUGUUGUAAAAUGCGGAUAAUAUAUAGCCUUGCGACGUUUGCCGUUCAGUCAUUUUGCAUUACGCGGGGGAAAUUGACAGCCCAAUACACUUUGGGGCUGUCAAUUUCCCGUUUGUAAUACAAAAUGACUGAAAAACGGCAAACUUUGCAAGGCUAUAUUAUCCGCAUUUUACAACAUAUCACAACAAAACUUUGGAAUAUUACUAAUUCUGUGAUGCUUUUUCAAGCUGUGAUGAAAUUUUUGCCUAGACUUGUUGAGAUCAAAAUUUAGUCUAUAAUGCAAAUGGUCCAUUGGACUUGGUUCAAAUCCAUCUCUCAAGGGGGUGAAAAUAGUGAUGAAUGGGAGUGAUGAAAAGGCGCAAAAAAAAAUAUGAGAGAAAAAUAAGGAGAGCCAGACUUUGGACAUUUGUAAGCGCUGCAAAAUUUGUUGUUGGAUUUUUCCUACGGAGAGUCAUGGCUUGCAAGCUGACAAUAACAGGGAUAAUUUUUCACACCAAGUUUACAAGUAACAUUUGAAAAGUUGUGAAUGUCCUAAGUCCAUCUCCAAGAUACGUCAAAACGCUGAAGUUCUGCUCGUAUUUUUCAAGUACUUGUAUCUCUAAAUCUGCAGUUGCUUGUGCAUUAAACUCAAAUGUUAUGAUGGCACAGACCUCGUUACUGAUUAAUAAUUUUUCACAGCUCUAGCAUGCAUAUUUCUGCAAUUCAUAAUGUUUCAUGUCGAUUAGAUGGUAGCUAGUUAACCCAUUAACCAUUAAGAUGCAUUGCAUCCUACUUUAUUAUUUUUUACUUGUCAAGGGGAGAGCUCUGGCAUUCAGUGGGUUAACAUCAGAAACUUAAAGUUGAAUUUUGUUUGUUAACCAUGUAUGACUUGUCUAACACCCAGCCUUAUUAUCUCAAAGCAAGGUCAAAUUCAUGCUCGAUCAUGUAGACUGCUAGCCUGCAGGCUAGUAGACUGCAGGUAUAAAAAAAUUGCAGUUGCCAUAGAGUAUUUUAAUAAAACACAAAACAAUGGACACUCUGAAAAUCGUAAACAUUUUCAUUCUUUACGUUUUGGCUAUAAUUUAAGUCAUCUUCAGAAGAAUGCCACUAUAAGUAGUUGGCUUUUCAAAAUACAUGGCAUUCUUCUGAAGAUGACUUAAGUUAUAGUCAAAACGUAAAGAAUGAAAAUGUUUACGAUUUUCGGAGUGUUUAUUGUUUUCUGUUUUAUUAAAAUACUAUAGACUAUAAUUUUUGUAUAUGGUAUAACAUCUACUGUACUGUAACCUGAAUAGAGAAACACACCUUCAAAGGCUGAACAAUAGAGCUCACAAAAAUCAUAGAGAGCUUUAAGUAUCAUUCAUUAAGUUAAGUUAAGGUCAAUCUUUUUAGUUCAUAACAAUACUGAAAUUAGCAUUUUUCUGUUGCAGGAACCCAACAAUCUCGCAGGAAAAAAUGCAUUCAAGUAUAAUGGUCUUGUCAACAAAAAGGUAUGUGGGAUUAUGAUAAUAACUUGAAGAUAUAGUAUAUCAAUCUUGAAUUAAUCUUGCAUGUUGGGCGGCAUGUACUGUAGGUAACAAAGAUUGCAAUUUGCAGGCUUGGGUGUUUGAUGUAACUACAUGAAAAUAAAAAUGAACUUGACAUAAUAUGUGUCUUAUUUCCUAACUUGACACUGUCCACGCCAAUGGUAUUAAUGAAUUUUUGCUAUCUACUUAGGUUUAAUUUGCCCAUGCCUUGUAUCAGGAGAAAUUGACAGUAUUACCUCACUUCAUUUUUGUUUUUCUGUAUUUCUUGUAUAUCUUCAUUCGGGUUUUUUACCUAUAGUAUCUUCAAUCUCAAUGACUAUAUUCUGGAAUGUGAUUUACAAAUUUUGAUUACACUUUUUUUUACCAAACCUAUCUUUCUAUAACUUGGCAGUAUAUCCACUAUCUAAGCAGACUUCUAUAGGUGCAUUGUGUAUGUUCUUUGUCGCAAACACCAGCACUUAUUAUUGUAAUACUGCAUAUCGAAAUGUUCAUGGUUUAGGCUCCCCAAAGAAAAUUGCACAGUUUUUGUUUGAUAUAUCUUAUGCAUGGUUUCGAAUCAAAACUCAGGGGUUCUAUGUCAGCUUUAGUACAGAUAGGAAACCUGGGACUCAGUGUAGAUUGUUGUGGAUACUUGACAACCUGUAAAAUAAGUAUUGUCAAUUGAGUUUGUAGGACAGCACAGCUAAACAGUAUUCACAUAUGAUGUAAUCAUAGUGAUUAUACUACAUCAUCUGUAGUAUUCACAUAUGAUGUAAUCAAGUAUUGAUGUAAUGUUGUAAACUAUAGGUUGUUGGUGUUGAGCCCAGUCCUGAUGGUAAAGGUGUGUUGCUUGUAACCAAGAAAAAACGAGGUAAGAU
RNAcentral lists this long non-coding RNA (3120 nucleotides) under Paramuricea clavata. The record is from RNAcentral. Lineage: Eukaryota; Metazoa; Cnidaria; Anthozoa; Malacalcyonacea; Plexauridae.